RNAcentral lists this ribosomal RNA (292 nucleotides) under uncultured Prevotella sp. RNAcentral's name for it is "partial 16S ribosomal RNA". It matches the Rfam family "Bacterial small subunit ribosomal RNA", at positions 59 to 339 of the family's 1533-position model. The record is from RNAcentral. Lineage: Bacteria; Pseudomonadati; Bacteroidota; Bacteroidia; Bacteroidales; Prevotellaceae.
AAGUCGAGGGGAAACGACAUCGAAAGCUUGCUUUUUCUAGGCGUCGACCGGCGCACGGGUGAGUAACGCGUAUCCAACCUGCCCAUCACUUGGGGAUAACCUUGCGAAAGUAAGACUAAUACCCCAUGGUCUCCACGGAUGGCAUCUGAAAUGGAGUAAAGGUUUCGGCCGGUUGCGGAUGGGGAUGCGUCUGAUUAGCUUGUUGGCGGGGUAACGGCCCACCAAGGCGACGAUCAGUAGGGGUUCUGAGAGGAAGGUCCCCACAUUGGAACUGAGACACGGUCCAAACUCC